CAAUUUCAAUUCACACUUUCAAUUUCAAUUCACACUUCUAUUUCCAUUCACUCAAUUCUAUUCAUUACCAUUUGUUUUUACUUUGCAAUUGCAGAAUCGACCCUGUUCUCAGAUUUACCAAUACAUGUGUUGCAUCAUCAAACCCUAUUUCUUCUUUUUACUUUCAGGGACAAAGCGAUUAUCAUUGUUUAAGCUGUAAUUUAAUUAUGGGCAGUAGAAAGAAGAAACUGUCCCUUGAGGACCAUAGCAAGAAACACAAAAUAAUGAAUUCUAUCUGGAGACCAGUUGCCACUAGUGCCAGUUCUUGUGAAGAGAGCUUGAUAAAGAAUGAAACAAAUGAGUCAAAAGAUGGAAGUGAAGUUCGGGAAAUGGGUUGUAGCUCAUCUAGCAAUAUUUCAAAUGUAAUGAAGGUAGCUACUGAAGCCAUGGAUGAAAAUACGGAAUCACCUACCAGUUCCAGAUCAUUGCCGGAUAAUGUCAAAAACAAAGUUGUAGAAGGAGGUUCAUCUCCUUCCACUAGAAAGCAUUCGAUUUCUGUUGAGGCAAGAUUAUAAUUUUCAUUUCCUUUUUUCAAUUCUUGAGUUGAUAGUAUUUUUUUAUUAUGAAGCUGGCAACCAAUAUUUGUUCACUUUGUCUUUUUACAUACUAGUGAUGCCAUAUAUCUUUUAUUUGGCCCUUUUCCAUUAUGUUUGAGUUGCUGAAUUGUUUUGGUUGUUCAAUAUAUGUUCCAGGUUACUGUAGCACUAUAGUUAAUUGGUUUGUUAUCAGGUGGCAAAACAUCAUUAAAAAAAGAUUCGAGAACUUUAUAAGCGAGGGCUUAAAUGAAGGCUGUCCUGCUGACUAGUUUUUUACUUGUUUUUUUCUUCUAUGACUCUGAUGUUAGUUUUUAUUGUCUAUUAUCUGAUGUUUUUCUUUUCCUUUUUUUGAAAAUUUACAGCAUAAGGAAUGAUAUCAUAUGUUACUUAUUUUUUGCUUGUACUAUGUAUCUGCCUCCUCAAUUUUUAUAUCUUGUUCUUCAUGCUUUUUUAGAUAUACUCCCAUUGGCUUCUCUUUUCUGAUUAUGCACUGAAAAAUCAAAGCUUUAGCCUGUUCAUCUCUGUUUUCAUUGUGUUUGUUGUGCAGGUUGGUGCUUCUCUAUUUCGAUUUAUCAAAGGAAAAGGGUAAAAACUAGUUUCAUUUUUUAUGGUUGUAAAAGGACUAGAGAAAAGUGUAGGCUUAGACAAGAUGGGCUGAAAAUGAAAAUAGUGAUGAAUAUUAGGAAUUUUGGGUAUUUUCAACUUGAGACUCGUGUAGCCAAUACCACAUGGGAUACAACUAUGCAAAUCUUGUUAUUGUUGUUAUCAGAGGCAAAUGGUAUAACAUUGUGGGGAGUCAUAAGGUGGUCAAGUGGUAAAAGGUGGAGGACUUAGGACUGGAGUAACAAGGAGGUCUGGGG
This 1435-nucleotide long non-coding RNA is filed under the name Lupinus mutabilis. Its description in RNAcentral is "partial ncRNA". The record is from RNAcentral. Lineage: Eukaryota; Viridiplantae; Streptophyta; Magnoliopsida; Fabales; Fabaceae.